Molecule: transfer RNA, 77 nt
Filed under: Burkholderia pseudomallei
Lineage: Bacteria; Pseudomonadati; Pseudomonadota; Betaproteobacteria; Burkholderiales; Burkholderiaceae
Description: tRNA-Thr
Rfam family: tRNA
About the family: Transfer RNA (tRNA) molecules are approximately 80 nucleotides in length. Their secondary structure includes four short double-helical elements and three loops (D, anti-codon, and T loops).
Source: RNAcentral
GCUUCCGUAGCUCAAUAGGUAGAGCGGCUCCUUUGUAAGGAGCGGGUUGUGGGUUCGAGUCCGUGCCGGAAGCACCA